Contarinia nasturtii (swede midge) is the source of this 316-nucleotide long non-coding RNA. RefSeq lists it as uncharacterized. The transcript is spliced from 3 exons. NCBI's taxonomy places the organism in Eukaryota, Metazoa, Arthropoda, Insecta, Diptera, Cecidomyiidae. The record is from RefSeq and is a predicted model, not a curated record.
AAGAAAUAUAUAAUAAUAAGAAAUAUAUCUAAUUUGUACAAGGUAAAUGGAGAAUACAUCACCGCAUGCGAUCAUGACGAUACAGUCAAUAUUUUACGAAAUGCAGGAGAUAUUGUUGUACUUACAGUGAAACAUUAUAAAGCUGCUACACCCUUCCUACAAAAACAAUUAUGUCGGGAUACUCCUGAUUCUGACAAUGAUGCCAUGUGUGCAGAGUUAAAAAAAGAUGAAGGCUGGAAAAAAUCUGUGAAUAAUAACAGGCCUGUUUCAAUUGUAUCAGAAACUGAACGAAAUGAUAAGAAGUGGAUUGAUAUUA